Long non-coding RNA from Perognathus longimembris pacificus (Pacific pocket mouse), 482 nucleotides. RefSeq lists it as uncharacterized. The transcript is spliced from 3 exons. NCBI's taxonomy places the organism in Eukaryota, Metazoa, Chordata, Mammalia, Rodentia, Heteromyidae. The record is from RefSeq and is a predicted model, not a curated record.
AACCUGGUCGGACAAUCUCCGGAUUCUAAUUUCAUAUGAUAAUGGUUCUCAACUGUCUUGUUUUGAACUGUUUUUCUUGAUCAUUUUUGUUUUGUUUUGUUUUUUACUUUUCAGGGAGUGUCUAGCUCCCAACAGUUUGGUUUUUUUUUUCAACCCAGGAACUCCCAGCACUUUGCAAGAGGAUUAAGUUAAAGGCCAGCCUGGGCUACAAUAGCAAGCUCAAGGACAACCUGGACUACAUAGUGAGACUUCGUCUCUCAAAAUAAAACUAGUAAAAAUAAAGCAUGAUCAAGAGGUAAGAAAAGAGAAACCUUUCCUCUGUUCCACUAGGUCUGCUAGAGUAGAGGUGGAAAGCAGGGAGCAAGUACACAGGCAAAAGGCAAGCUGUCCAGUGCUUAACCCAUGUCCCUGAUUGACACAAAAAGGGAGUUGAGAGAAACAUAAGUCUGGAUCAGAACAAAAUGAAGCUCACAAUACCUUUU